CCCAUAGGGCUAAGUUUAUUUCAUUUGUCACACCUAAUUUCAAUCACCCGCCUUAAAAGAGAGAAUGGAUCACCAAAAAUUGAAAUUGAGAAAACAUAUUUACUCUAGAGAGAGAGAGAGAGAAGAGAGAGAGAGAGAGAGAUAUGAGGAUAUUUGGAAAGCAUGUAUAUCCAAGACAAGUAAUACUUUUCGCAUCCAGGUAUGAAUGGAAACUCUUGAAGAUCACAUCAACUCCCUCCGCCGCCCGCCGCCGUGACGCCGCCACCACGGAAAAAGUUAACUGUUUUACAAUUGUGAUGAUUUAAUUUCAUGCUGUCGGAGCUUCAAAGCUGAGCGAAGAAGAUGAUCGCCUCUAGCCUUUACGCACGUCAGCUUUCUAUGGUUAUGUAUCGGCCACGUGGUCUCUAAAAUAACCACGUGUACGUUGCAUUAAUUUUUAUUUUAUUGGUACUAAAAUAAUUUGUUUAGUUUUCUAACUAAAUGAAAUUGAAAUACAUAAUUAUUUACUCAAUUACAAUCUGCGGUUCAAGGCACGUGGGAAAUUUAUUUGAAGAUUUUUGAAAUAUUUGUAGGUAUCAUGUUAUAUACCCUUUUAAUUGUGUAUUAAUAACACGACAAUUUAUUUAAUAUGUUGUAAUAUUUUUUUGCACUUU
Molecule: non-coding RNA, 653 nt
Organism: Erythranthe guttata (spotted monkey flower)
Lineage: Eukaryota; Viridiplantae; Streptophyta; Magnoliopsida; Lamiales; Phrymaceae
Source: RefSeq, a predicted model, not a curated record